Molecule: ribosomal RNA, 497 nt
Filed under: uncultured bacterium
Lineage: Bacteria
Description: bacterial SSU rRNA
Rfam family: Bacterial small subunit ribosomal RNA
Source: RNAcentral
GGCUCAGGAUGAACGCUAGCUACAGGCUUAACACAUGCAAGUCGAGGGGCAGCGGGAUUGAAGCUUGCUUCAAUUGCCGGCGACCGGCGCACGGGUGAGUAACGCGUAUCCAACCUUCCGUACACUCAGGGAUAGCCUUUCGAAAGAAAGAUUAAUACCUGAUGGUAUGAUGAGAUUGCAUGAUAGCAUCAUUAAAGAUUUAUCGGUGUACGAUGGGGAUGCGUUCCAUUAGGUAGUAGGCGGGGUAACGGCCCACCUAGCCUACGAUGGAUAGGGGUUCUGAGAGGAAGGCCCCCCACAUUGGAACUGAGACACGGUCCAAACUCCUACGGGAGGCAGCAGUGAGGAAUAUUGGUCAAUGGACGAGAGUCUGAACCAGCCAAGUAGCGUGAAGGAUGAAGGUCUUACGGAUUGUAAACUUCUUUUAUAAGGGAAUAAACCCUCCCACGUGUGGGAGCUUGUAUGUACCUUAUGAAUAAGCAUCGGCUAACUCCGUG